CCCUUAGAUGUUCUGGGCCGCACGCGUGCUACACUGAACGGUUCAAUGGGUAAGGUAGUGCGAAAGCAUGACCUAAUCUCGAAAUCCGUUCGUGCUGGGGAUAGAAGCUUGCAAUUAUCCUUCUUGAGCGAGGAAUACCUUGUAAGCGUGAGUCAUCAUCUCACGCUGAAUACGUCCCUGCCCUUUGUACACACCGCCCGUCGCUCCUACCGAUUGAGUGUUCCGGUGAGGCUUUGGGAGAAUGGCCUCAACAUGAGUUUAUCGUGUUUUGCCGUUUGAACUUAGUCAAACCUUAUCACUUAGAGGAAGGAGAAGUCGUAACA
RNAcentral lists this ribosomal RNA (323 nucleotides) under uncultured eukaryote. Its description in RNAcentral is "partial 18S ribosomal RNA". It matches the Rfam family "Eukaryotic small subunit ribosomal RNA", at positions 1470 to 1796 of the family's 1831-position model. The record is from RNAcentral.